This 345-nucleotide ribosomal RNA is filed under the name Trichophaea woolhopeia. RNAcentral describes it as "SSU rRNA". It matches the Rfam family "Eukaryotic small subunit ribosomal RNA", at positions 594 to 945 of the family's 1831-position model. Lineage: Eukaryota; Fungi; Ascomycota; Pezizomycetes; Pezizales; Pyronemataceae. The record is from RNAcentral.
AUAGCGUAUAUUAAAGUUGUUGCAGUUAAAAAGCUCGUAGUUGAACCUUGGGCCUGGACAACCGGUCUGCCUAACAGCAAGUACUGGGAGUUUGGGCCUUUCCUUCUGGCUAACCCCAUGCCCUUUACUGGGUGUGUGGGCGAACCAGGACUUUUACUUUGAAAAAAUUAGAGUGUUCAAAGCAGGCAUUUGCUCGAAUACAUUAGCAUGGAAUAAUAGAAUAGGAUGUGCGGUUCUAUUUUGUUGGUUUCUAGGUCCGCCGUAAUGAUUAAUAGGGAUAGUCGGGGGCAUCCGUAUUCAAUUGUCAGAGGUGAAAUUCUUGGAUUUAUUGAAGACGAACUACUG